GGGGUUGUGGCUCAGCGGUAGAGCACUCGCCUCGCAUGCAUGGGACUCUGUGUUCAAUCCUCAGCACCA
This 69-nucleotide transfer RNA is filed under the name Ictidomys tridecemlineatus (thirteen-lined ground squirrel). RNAcentral describes it as "Spermophilus tridecemlineatus (thirteen-lined ground squirrel) tRNA". It matches the Rfam family "tRNA". From Rfam's summary of the family: Transfer RNA (tRNA) molecules are approximately 80 nucleotides in length. Their secondary structure includes four short double-helical elements and three loops (D, anti-codon, and T loops). Lineage: Eukaryota; Metazoa; Chordata; Mammalia; Rodentia; Sciuridae. The record is from Rfam by way of RNAcentral.